GACAAUGGGCGAAAGCCUGAUCCAGCAAUACCGCGUGCAGGAAGAAGGCCCUCGGGUUGUAAACUGCUUUUGUACGGAACGAAACGGCGCGCUCUAAUAAAGUGCGCUAAUGACGGUACCGUAAGAAUAAGCACCGCCUAACUACGUGCCAGCAGCCGCGGUAAUACGUAGGGUGCAAGCGUUAAUCGGAAUUACUGGGCGUAAAGCGUGCGCAGGCGGUUUUGUAAGACAGGCGUGAAAUCCCCGGGCUUAACCUGGGAAUUGCGCUUGUGACUGCAAGGCUAGAGUACGGUAGAGGGGGAUAGAAUUCCGCGUGUAGCAGUGAAAUGCGUAGAUAUGCGGAGGAACACCGAUGGCGAAGGCA
RNAcentral lists this ribosomal RNA (364 nucleotides) under uncultured beta proteobacterium. RNAcentral's name for it is "bacterial SSU rRNA". It matches the Rfam family "Bacterial small subunit ribosomal RNA", at positions 367 to 723 of the family's 1533-position model. The record is from RNAcentral. Lineage: Bacteria; Pseudomonadati; Pseudomonadota; Betaproteobacteria.